GUAGGCCCGUGCCCCUGCUCGCGCUGCAGCCCGUGGAAGGGUUGCGUCCAGUGUAUCCUCCAGAUCUUGCGGUAGUCGUCUCGUAUCUGUGCGCGCGCGGGAGGGACAGCGGCGGCGACGGCCGGAGGUGUACGGUCAGCGGGUUGCGGAGGAUCGUGCGGGUAGCAAAGGGAGGCCGAGUGCUCCUGCGGCUCCCAGACGGCAAACGGGAACUAACCUGUCAGGUACUGAGAGGCUUUGAAGAUGGCUCUUCAGGUUGGGGACACGCCUUUGUUAAGGGGCAAGACUGCUGCCUGGAGUUGAUUCACAUACUCAGAGGUAGGAUUGACCACAUAAAGAAAAUGCUUUCAAGUCUUUGUUCUGAAUUUUCUUCG
This 374-nucleotide long non-coding RNA is filed under the name Theropithecus gelada (gelada). RNAcentral describes it as "lncRNA (ENSTGEG00000000673.1)". Lineage: Eukaryota; Metazoa; Chordata; Mammalia; Primates; Cercopithecidae. The record is from RNAcentral.